UACAGGGGGUGCAACCGUUGCUCGGAAUUAUUGGGCGUAAAGCGCACGUAGGCGGUUUGUUAUGUCGGAUGUGAAAGCCCUUGGCUCAACUGAGGAAGUGCAUCCGAAACUGGCAAGCUAGAGUAUGUAAGAGGGUCGCGGAAUUCCCGGUGUAGAGGUGAAAUUCGUAGAUAUCGGGAGGAACACCGGUGGCGAAGGCGGCGACCUGGGACAAUACUGACGCUGAGGUGCGAAAGCGUGGGGAGCAAACGGG
RNAcentral lists this ribosomal RNA (253 nucleotides) under uncultured bacterium. Its description in RNAcentral is "partial 16S ribosomal RNA". It matches the Rfam family "Bacterial small subunit ribosomal RNA", at positions 524 to 776 of the family's 1533-position model. The record is from RNAcentral.